AAUACAUGMAGUCGAGCGGMAGAUGGGAGCUUGCUCCUGAUGUUAGCGGCGGACGGGUGAGUAACACGUGGGUAACCUGCCUGUAAGACUGGGAUAACUCCGGGAAACCGGGGCUAAUACCGGAUGGUUGUUUGAACCGCAUGGUUCAAACAUAAAAGGUGGCUUCGGCUACCACUUACAGAUGGACCCGCGGCGCAUUAGCUAGUUGGUGAAAUUCCGGAAUUGCCUUAAGGUAAYGGCUCACCAAGGCAACGAUGCGUAGCCGACCUGAGAGGGUGAUCGGCCACACUGGGACUGAGACACGGCCCAGACUCCUACGGGAGGCAGCAGUAGGGAAUCUUCCGCAAUGGACGAAAGUCUGACGGAGCAACGCCGCGUGAGUGAUGAAGGUUUUCGGAUCGUAAAGCUCUGUUGUUAGGGAAGAACAAGUACCGUUCGAAUAGGGCGGUACCUUGACGGUACCUAACCAGAAAGCCACGGCUAACUACGUGCCAGCAG
This 498-nucleotide ribosomal RNA is filed under the name Bacillus subtilis. Its description in RNAcentral is "bacterial SSU rRNA". It matches the Rfam family "Bacterial small subunit ribosomal RNA", at positions 50 to 514 of the family's 1533-position model. The record is from RNAcentral. Lineage: Bacteria; Bacillati; Bacillota; Bacilli; Caryophanales; Bacillaceae.